AUGAACCAAACCGGCGCGGCAAUCUCGCCUGCCGCCGGCAACACCCACCUCGGACCUCUGGGUCAUCUUCCUCCCCCGACCUACCAACCUACCUUACCUACUCACCCUCCAUCUGCUACUCUGCUUGCCCCAACCUCAAUCAUCGACACCAUCACAGAUGUAUCCCCGUUCAUCCCCAUCGUCCUCGACCUGGCGGCGCACAACUACUACCACUGGCGUCAUUUGUUCCUUGUCCACCUCGGGCGCUGCGGCCUCCGCAGCCACAUCGACGGCGACAACCUGGCGGCCUCCUCCGAUCCCGUUUGGAUCAAGGACGACUUCGCCAUUCUGCAGUGGAUUUACACGCGGAUCUCAACGGAGCUGUUCGGCCUCCUCCCCAAGGACGGCGCCACCGCCUUCGUCAUCUGGCGCGAGCUCCAGCGCCUGUUCCAGGACAACCGCGAUGCCCGCAUCAACCACCUGGAGACAGCGAUGCGCACCCUCAAGUAG
RNAcentral lists this ribosomal RNA (489 nucleotides) under Triticum aestivum (bread wheat). RNAcentral describes it as "partial small subunit ribosomal RNA". The record is from RNAcentral. Lineage: Eukaryota; Viridiplantae; Streptophyta; Magnoliopsida; Poales; Poaceae.